This 274-nucleotide long non-coding RNA is filed under the name Nicotiana benthamiana. Its description in RNAcentral is "long non-coding RNA (NBEN_LNC001536)". The record is from RNAcentral. Lineage: Eukaryota; Viridiplantae; Streptophyta; Magnoliopsida; Solanales; Solanaceae.
CCAAGGUCAACUGCUACCGACUCUUGCACGUCCCGACCGGUGUUGCUUAGCUCUUCACUCCCGAACGCCGCGAACUGGCCUCGCCGCCGCGACUAGUACCUGGGUAAGUUUGCCUGCAGAAUAUCGGAAUGUGUAGUUCUGUUGUGUCCUGCCAAAAGUCCGAACGGGAGUCGCCGGAAGUACUGUAGCUUGCUGGUAAUCCUCGCCGGAAAAUAAGGUACCUGUCCAAAAAAAAACAGAACACACCCACACACACCCACAAAAAGUAGAAGAG